Molecule: non-coding RNA, 72 nt
Organism: Coccidioides immitis RMSCC 2394
Lineage: Eukaryota; Fungi; Ascomycota; Eurotiomycetes; Onygenales; Onygenaceae
Source: Rfam
GGACCUAUGGCGCAACGGUAGCGCGUCAGACUCCAGAUCUGACGGUUGUGCGUUCAAAUCGCACUGGGUUCA